Molecule: ribosomal RNA, 254 nt
Filed under: uncultured bacterium
Lineage: Bacteria
Description: partial 16S ribosomal RNA
Rfam family: Bacterial small subunit ribosomal RNA
Source: RNAcentral
UACGGAGGGGGCUAGCGUUGUUCGGAAUUACUGGGCGUAAAGCGCACGUAGGCGGCUUUGUAAGUUAGAGGUGAAAACCCGGGGCUCAACUCCGGAAUUGCCUUUAAGACUGCAUCGCUAGAAUUGUGGAGAGGUAAGUGGAAUUCCGAGUGUAGAGGUGAAAUUCGUAGAUAUUCGGAAGGAACAUCAGUGGCGAAAGCGGCUUCCUGGUCCAGCACCGACGUUCAGGCACGAAAGCGUGGGGAGCAAACAGG